RNAcentral lists this ribosomal RNA (450 nucleotides) under uncultured bacterium. RNAcentral's name for it is "partial 16S ribosomal RNA". It matches the Rfam family "Bacterial small subunit ribosomal RNA", at positions 354 to 796 of the family's 1533-position model. The record is from RNAcentral.
GUGGGGAAUAUUGCGCAAUGGGCGAAAGCCUGACGCAGCGACGCCGCGUGAGGGAUGAAGGUUUUCGGAUCGUAAACCUCUGUCAGAAGGGAAGAAACUACAUUGUGCUAAUCAGCAGUGUACUGACGGUACCUUCAAAGGAAGCACCGGCUAACUCCGUGCCAGCAGCCGCGGUAAUACGGAGGGUGCAAGCGUUAAUCGGAAUUACUGGGCGUAAAGCGCACGUAGGCUGUAGUGUAAGUCAGGGGUGAAAUCCCACGGCUCAACCGUGGAACUGCCUUUGAUACUGCACAACUUGAAUCCGGGAGAGGGUGGCGGAAUUCCAGGUGUAGGAGUGAAAUCCGUAGAUAUCUGGAGGAACAUCAGUGGCGAAGGCGGCCACCUGGACCGGUAUUGACGCUGAGGUGCGAAAACGUGGGGAGCAAACAGGAUUAGAAACCCCUGUAGUCC